Molecule: long non-coding RNA, 945 nt
Filed under: Sorghum bicolor (sorghum)
Lineage: Eukaryota; Viridiplantae; Streptophyta; Magnoliopsida; Poales; Poaceae
Description: long non-coding RNA (SBIC_LNC009829)
Source: RNAcentral
GCGGGGGUAGGGGUGGAGGGGCGGAUGUUGUGGCGUAGCGUGACGCUAGUGGACCAGCUCACCGCGGUGGUACACCAUUUCGAGCGUCAUGGCUCAUUGUUGUUGUGGUGGAGGAGGCGGCGACGGUCACGUGACCGUCAAGCAGAAUUCCGCGUGGCUGACGUCCUCCGAAUGGUGGAGAGGAAGCCUGCAAAGAAGUUAGUUGUGGUAUAGAUCUUGACAUCGGAGAAGCCAAAGGCGAUGCAGAAUGAGGCAACAGAGGAGGAUGAGCUUGAGUCUGCCUAGGGGAGCUUGGUGUUGGCGUCAGGGUGAAGGUACCGUGGAGGAGUCGUGGUUUGAGGAGGACGUGCCACCGAGUAGUCGUGCAAUGGGGGUGGUCGUGCGCGUACAAGGGGAGGGGGCGAUGGAAGGGAGCGAGCACAACACAAAUGGCCAGGCUAUCGAUACUAGGCGAGGGAGACUGGGGGAGGAGCCCACCAGGGGAGGAGGAUGGAGCGAGGGCGAGCGUGCACUAUGCAAUUUCCGUGUGAGUGUGAGAAUUGAUGCAACAACAAGAUGAGGGCCUAAAGCUGAGCCCCUACGAAUGGGGCCUAUAUAUGGGAAAGAUUUGGGUGCUUAUUCAAACUUUGAGGCUCUAGUAGGGGUCUUACUGAAUUUGUGUUUUUGGGUGAACACCUAUAUGUAAGGCCUCCAAUAGCGACCCUUCUCUGGAGUUGGUCGAUACGACUGUUAAUAUAUAUAUAUUGUCACAUGAUGGAGCUACCACACCAUCAAAUAAAAAGUUAUGUAAAGCAUAACGGAAUAAAGGAAGUGUGUGAAACCAUAUCCUUCUUGCUAAAAACAUUCAUUUAGGUGCCAUUUGUAGAAUAGAAAUUGUAAAGAAUAGUCAAGAGUUCUUGCUGACUAGGCAUUGGUCGGGAGACCCGCAGCAAAGUCUGAGGGCCC